GGGGAGGAGCGGCGCGGCGCGGCGUGCAGGCGAGGGAGGAGCGGCGGCGGCGACGCAUGUCCACGGCACCGGCUGAGUCGGCGGCGGCGGCUCCGGGCAAGGAUAGGGUCGCCGUCGCCGUCCGUCCUCUUCUCCUCCACGGUCGCGGCGUGAGCGCGAGACUCUCGGCGCGGCGGUGCUCAUGGUCUCCUCGUCAGCGCCAAGGACGGGGCGACCACGGCGGCCUCAGUCCAGAGCGGAGAGACCGGGGGAGAGUGGAGGCCGCCGCCGCCGCCUUGCUCCCCCCUCCGCCGCCUACGCCUUGCUCCUGGUCGCCGGACUCCACCCGCUCCCACCGCCUCAUCCUCGGAACCCACACCUCCGACGAGAAGCCCAACCACCUCUUGCCCGUUGACGCCGCCCUCCCGCUUCCGCCCCGCCUGGCGCGCGCGUUGGAUGCGGACGGCGGCAUUUCCUCCGCUGGCGCGACGCCGGCCGUCGGACCUCCUCCUCUCCCCUCCCCCCGGCGGCCUUCUCCCCACAGCGCUGCCCGUCGCCGGCCUGGGAAAAGUGAGAGAGAAAGGGAGAAGAGGGGGAAUAUGAGAGAGGUGAUGAGGUGGCAUCCUGACAUGUGGGGCCCACGUGGGUCCCAUGCUGACUCAGCCGCCACAUAGACUAAAACCGGGGUCAAAACCACCGAAGGAUCUCGGGGGACCGGUUUUAUAUAGUUAAGGGACCUCUUAUAUCUGGUUUUACGGUUCGAGGAUGUUUAUGUAUCCCGAUAACAAGUUGAGGGACCUUCGGUGUACUUUUUCCUUCCAACAAAGCUAUAUGUGAUAAAUGGGCUUCUCUUUCCUUUCUAAACUAAGGUCAAGUGCAGACUGGGCCUUGUAGACACAGGCGUUGGGCCUUACCAUGGAACUAAACGGGCCAUGAGGCCGGCCGCGUCAGGACAAGCUGCUCGAUCGACUGCUGGCUGGCACCCCGGAUAGACUAAUGCUUGAACGCCUGGCUCAUCAGAUGCAUGCCACUCGCUGGCUGGCACAAUAUCCAUAUAUAGCGGUAAUUGUGUUCUCGCCUAUGCUCUUAGAUGCAAUUGUUACUCUGCCUAUGUUUUUUAAGGUUUAUAAUUUUAACUCUUAUUUUUUUUAAAACGAACCAACUGUUUGCCCCUAGUUUCGACCAACCAACUAGCUGUUUUGUCUCUGUUUCGUUUUAAAAGAAGAAGGGUUUGCGUCCAAAAAAAAUUUGCGUCAAAAAAGAAGAAGGGCAAAAUCAUAAAAAAGAAAACAGAGGUAAAAUCAUAAUUGCAUCUAAAGGUUGGAGGCAAGAACACAAUCUCCCCAUAUGUUGUAUAUGGUCACUGAAUUCUCAAGUGUCUUUGUACCAUAUGUCCAUAUAGUCCCCACUGUACGUUCUCUCCAUUCUUCUUUAAUUGAACCAUAUCUUGCUUGAA
Oryza sativa Japonica Group (Japanese rice) is the source of this 1435-nucleotide non-coding RNA. The record is from RefSeq and is a predicted model, not a curated record. NCBI's taxonomy places the organism in Eukaryota, Viridiplantae, Streptophyta, Magnoliopsida, Poales, Poaceae.